UUGUUCUGCCGCUGCGCGUACGCUAAAGGCAGCAGCUGUAACGCAGAGCUUGCUAUAACUUGAGAUUUAAAAAUAAUAAUAGUAAAUCGCGUUUGCCGUUCUGUUUCAGAUAAAAGUUUCUGCACUGUACGAUUGCAGCUGCCCUUAAGCCCGGUGCACGGUCCACGCAUGAACUUUGCUCCUUGACGCUCCCGGCUGAAAGCUUUUACCCUCCUCAGUGGCAAAGGGGGCGUCCUGUCACCCAGGCCCUUCUGCACCAGCGGGGAGAGCGCUGUGCUUUCCCGUCUCUCCCCAGAUAUUCCUCCUGGGUUAGCCGCCUCACACCAAAAGGAGCCGUUUUGCACCUGUCAUCUAGAUGGUUAGCGGAGGCAGGGAGCAUAAAAAGAUUUGAACGUUGUGAGCUAGAACUGAAAUCCAAAAUGUUAAUGCCAGAAUCGCCGAUACCCUGAGCUGAGAGGAUGGCUACUACGGAAGAAUGGCAGUAGACCUGCGCGCCUAGAGCUGCAUCGGUUUGCCAUAGCUAACUCUGAUUUUCAGAAGGAUUAUUUGAGAAUGGAUUAGAAAUUUCAGCAACGCUGACUCAUAGUAUUAUACAAGGCACCUUUUCAAGAUGCAAGAGUAUCCUCUCUUAGUUUCAAGCCACAAUUUAAAAAAAAAAAAAAAAGCAAUGCCAUGGAAACAAACCUAAAAUUGUUUUAAAGGACUGGGAAUCUUAAGUUACUACUAGUUGUCCAUGAAGUCUUUUUUAACGUUUCUAUGUUCAGAUGCAGGUCGGUAAGUGACAGAAAACCGCUACAGCCCUCAAGGAAAGAGAUAACAGGCACAUUUCUAGUAGCCGGACCAUGAUACGCUGUGGUCCAUCAUCUCCUUUCGUGUUUCCUAGGCUUUCCACUGGAAGAGUAAAACCACGAAUGGCUGUGGUGACAUGAAGCUAAAGUGACCUGGAAAACCGUGAAAAACCCUUUGCUGCAGAUUGCUCCCUUGGAUGGAUGGACGUGCAAGUCCGGGACCUCUAGGGUUUCAAUGAGUUCCUUGUUGAAGAACAAGGAGAUAAUUUUUGUCCUUUUUAGGACAAAAGGAGCAGAAUUUAUAGAAAGGAGCAGAAUUAAGUCCCCAAAUAAAGAGGGUCCUGAGGGAGAUGUCCGAAAAGCCGCAACCCAUCUUUUGGUUGCCUUAUAUUGCUGUGACAGCUCCAGACACCUGGCUGCCUUGAAAGUGCACAGUAGUGGUGAGGAGACCAUAGCAGGACACAAUAAACAUGUCCAGAAAGCUGCAGGAAAAAAAAAUAUAUAUAAAUUUUGUUUGGGAAAUACCAUGAGCGCUCUCUAAAUAAUUUAACAGUACACACGCAUUCAGCAAUUAGCCACACAGCCUUGCUGUCCUACCUGGGAGAAUUAACUUCAAAAACUUUCCCAGGUGUUUGUUACUGUUGCUAUUUUUCUUUACACAAAGGUUACAAUUGAACAUUGCAGACUCUGAAGUUCUGCCUAGCUGACAACAAAUUGCCACCACCCGGAAAGUUCAGCCAAGCCAGUUGCAAAACAUCUCCAUUAGAGAGGAGAAAAGUUUUCUCCUGCUGACCUCUGGGAGAUGAUGUGCAGCUGGGCAAGUCCUUUGCCUCUGCAAAACUCCUGGAGUGAAGCAGCAGGAGCCUUUUUCUCGGGCACCGCACAAACUCAUCGCUCUCUCCUGCACCGCACCACAACAUCACGUUUCAUAGGACUCCCUCCAUUGUGUAAUUCUUACCAGCAGCAACAGUUUUCCCACAGUUUCUUUUACUUGGAGGAAGCUAAUUCAGUUUUGCUCAGUUUUCCCAGGGCCAAUCUUUUCUGUGCCAAUGAUCAAGAUUUUAGAAACUACUAGAGUCCAAAAAACAAAGAAUUAGGACCAAUCAUUGUGUGUCCCCUUUAGUUUGUCCUGAGCAGCAACCGAGCGACAAGUUUUAGUUUGCUCUGCAAAAGACUUGACCAAUUUUAUCAUAUUCCCAAGUAGCCUAACGUCACCUUUCACAAGAUCUGUAGCAUUAUUUACCACUGAAUGCUUUCAUACAUCCCUUAAGGUGACAUGGGAGAAAGGAACAUGCUUGGGAUAGCAAAAAGCCAUAAUGACAAAGUCCACUGAAAGUGGACACCAACAGGACAUGUCACAUUAGCUUCAGGAGACCAGGAAAGAUUAUGCUUUGUGGCCUAAAAGUCAUGAGAACAGCCUCAUAUGUACUCCACAAAUCACUCUUUCAUUUAUUCUUCCCCACACCAAAAGAGACUUAAGAAAAUUUAAACACACAUGCAAAAUGGCAUUUUGCUAUAAAUGGAAAGAGGUUGUCAAGACCCCCCCCCCCACCUAAAUCAUAGUUUCAACUCAGACUAGCUCAACUUCCACUAUACUUUUCUCUCAUUCUUCCAUUUUCAUUAUUUUCUUACAAAAGGGACAUAAAGUAUCAUUACAAACACACAAGAACAACAACAAAAGGGUGUUUAUCAGUAUUGCAGAGAGAAGGUCAGUUUGCAUGUGUUAAUACACUGGAAACGUUCUGCUUUUGCAUAAUACUGGGGAGUUUCUAUCAACAGCUCAUAUUCUCCAAGUGCUGGCCAAAACGAUUACUUCUCCAGUUCUGUGGGGGGGAAGAAAUCCACUAAAACAUGAAUAUUCAAUAGAUUACUGGCAUAGCAAUCCUUUAGAUAAAAGCUCUGCUCCUUAAAAUACAACAAACACUAGCUGCUGGUUACAAAAAGAAAUAGAAAUAUAAAAAUGGUUUUGGAGGUUCUUUCAUCCCAACCACUUUAAAAGUAUAUUGUGGUAGUAAAAUGCCAUUAAGCAUAUGGGGCAGAUUCUCUUUGUGACCUUGGUAUCUUUUCCGCUCAGUAGAAAAAUCUAGUUUCAGACUACUUAGUGCAGAGCCGGUCGGCACUGUGCGUUUUCCAAGGGCACAGAGCAAAGCCAUCCUGCCCUCGGCGCUCAGUCCUAGCCCUCUCUGACCCGCUCCCAGAGCGUGGGAGAGAGCCGGCAUGUUGCCAUGGGUGCUCAGCACCUAGCAGCAGAAGUCAAAACUUCUGCACUUCCCGCAGCAUAACAUCAGCGUAAGAAAGCGGACGUUUGGGUCUUCUUGCAAGGAAUUCACUAGAUAUGCAUAAUUAGCCUUUCUGUGACUUGGAAUUGCCAUGUGAAAGCCAGGAUCUGCAAGAAGAAAAACACAAGGAUUCAGUUUAAAGCAGUGAGAUUUCUCCUCAAAAUCUUAAGUUCUGGCUGGAGCACUAGCUCAGUGCCGUCGGGUUCCUCUUUCUCUUUUUGGGCUUCAGGUGGUGCUCAGGAGUUGCCAGGCUUUCUUUUUUUCUCUUUGGCUUUUGAGAAUUCCUGAUUAUCUCGCUUUAUUUUUGUUUCUCUCAUGUCUGAAACCACCCGAGAGUCCUCCUCCAUCAGGUCAGGCAAAUUCAAACCUCCCUGUUGUCUGCAGAGUCUUUGCAUUUCAUACUGGUGUUUUCCUCACCCAGGAACCUGCUCCGAAAUGCUUAAGGCUUCUGCGAGAUGUGCGCAGUGGGCACUCAGCUGCUUGCAAAAAAUUCACAAACUGUAGGUCCAAAGUGACUUGGAGUACAAGGACUUUUGGCCACGUAGACCCAUAAUCCAUAUAAUGCAUUUGGAAUAUGCAGCAGUGCUGGCUUUGCAAGGGUCACUAAAUUCAUUACAUUACUCAGGAUCCUUAGUUUAUUGAUCAUGUGAGGCUCAAUCUUGUGAAAGGAGUAAGCACUUGCAAGAACAGGUUUUAUUUUAGAAGCUGAUGUAUAAGCUGAUUGUACAUUGCCUGCUUUUUCUAGACUCGUUUGCGACAGUAAUUUAAGCACGUAUUUAACAUCAAGGAGCAAAUCUCUAUUUCCAGCCUUGAAGCUUUCCUCCGCUACGGGAACAGCCAAUCCACAGAAGUAACUUUCUCUUCAGUUUAAUCUUCAAAGUUUGGAAACAUAUUUAAUUCUACGUUACAAUUACGCCGUUCAUAUUUCAUGAAUUUUUAAGUUCAGGCUGCGAUUACAGACAGCACAAAUUGACACAACAGUGAAAUGGAAUGAAAAACAAGCAACAUACUGUGCUUUUAACUUAGAAGAUUGCAUUAUAGUUCCUUCAAGGACACUAAGAAGAGAUCUCUGCAACUGCUAUCAAUAAGUAUCUUUCACAAUCAGCACUUCUAAAGUUUCUAGAAUGGCUUAAAGCCUUGAUUCAGUUUAGAAAUGAGAGAAUGCAAAAAAGCAAGAGCAUAGCUUAAAGCUUAACUAUUCUUUCAUUUUGCUGCUUUGCAUUUCAGUAUUCAGCUUGAGGACCAGAAUUCUUCGAUCACUUUCCUGUUAGAGCUAGCCGCAAAUUUUUCAGCUAGACUUUUUCUUUGAGGAUGCUUGUGUUAAACCCGAAGUUCUUCACUGGAAAAAUGUCACUUUUGAUGACCUUUCCCAUUUCAAAAUUAUGUUUGGGGGGAAAAAAAACACAGUGUUUUUAUACCCUCUAAUUCUUCUAAAUGGAAAGUUUUUAUUUUUUCAAAUUGAAAGAGUUUUUCAAAGUUACUGAAAAGUCAAAAUUGGAAUAAAAUGUUUCCGUCAUCCAGUGAAAUAUAUGAGAUUCUUUCUCAGAAAACAGGGGAAGGAAGGAGCGUGCAUUUAUUACCAUUUUGACAACUGAAAAAGAGAAGAAAAUAUUUUUUAAAUAUUGACUUCUUGUGUGACCAGAAAAAAAAAUUUCCUGCUUAUUUCUCUGUAUUAUGCAAGAUACCUAUGUGGACCGUACUAUUACAGCACCUAUUCAUCUCAUAGUCCUUCAGAAAA
Molecule: non-coding RNA, 4805 nt
Organism: Struthio camelus australis
Lineage: Eukaryota; Metazoa; Chordata; Aves; Struthioniformes; Struthionidae
Source: RefSeq, a predicted model, not a curated record